UACACUCCUACGGGAGGCAGCAGUGGGGAAUAUUGGACAAUGGGCGCAAGCCUGAUCCAGCCAUGCCGCGUGAGUGAUGAAGGCCCUAGGGUUGUAAAGCUCUUUCACCGGUGAAGAUAAUGACGGUAACCGGAGAAGAAGCCCCGGCUAACUUCGUGCCAGCAGCCGCGGUAAUACGAAGGGGGCUAGCGUUGUUCGGAUUUACUGGGCGUAAAGCGCACGUAGGCGGACUAUUAAGUCAGGGGUGAAAUCCCGGGGCUCAACCCCGGAACUGCCUUUGAUACUGGUAGUCUUGAGUUCGAGAGAGGUGAGUGGAAUUCCGAGUGUAGAGGUGAAAUUCGUAGAUAUUCGGAGGAACACCAGUGGCGAAGGCGGCUCACUGGCUCGAUACUGACGCUGAGGUGCGAAAGCGUGGGGAGCAAACAGGAUUAGAUACCCGGGUAGUCCCAUGA
This 452-nucleotide ribosomal RNA is filed under the name uncultured organism. Its description in RNAcentral is "partial 16S ribosomal RNA". It matches the Rfam family "Bacterial small subunit ribosomal RNA", at positions 332 to 800 of the family's 1533-position model. The record is from RNAcentral.